AGAGUUUGAUCCUGGCUCAGAUUGAACGCUGGCGGCAUGCCUUACACAUGCAAGUCGAACGGUAGCGGGCCUUCGGGUGCCGACGAGUGGCGAGCGGGUGAGUAAUGUAUCGGAACGUACCUUUCAGUGGGGGAUAACGUAGCGAAAGUUACGCUAAUACCGCAUAUUCUGUGAGCAGGAAAGCAGGGGAUCGCAAGACCUUGCGCUGAUUGAGCGGCCGAUAUCAGAUUAGCUAGUUGGUGAGGUAAAGGCUCACCAAGGCGACGAUCUGUAGCGGGUCUGAGAGGAUGAUCCGCCACACUGGAACUGAGACACGGUCCAGACUCCUACGGGAGGCAGCAGUGGGGAAUUUUGGACAAUGGGGGCAACCCUGAUCCAGCCAUGCCGCGUGAGUGAAGAAGGCCUUCGGGUU
Molecule: ribosomal RNA, 412 nt
Filed under: uncultured bacterium
Lineage: Bacteria
Description: bacterial SSU rRNA
Rfam family: Bacterial small subunit ribosomal RNA
Source: RNAcentral